AUGGCUGCUGUGGAAAAGGUCUGUUGCACUUACAGUAACGUAAUGACUUGUUGUCAACUCCAGUAUUGUUAUUUCACUUCACCUGUCUCUCCUGUGCCCCGCUGCUCCGUGUGUGUGGAGGGCUAAGCUCCGCCCCUCCGCCCCUCCGCCCUCGGUGAAACACGGUGAGAAGAGAAAGCGCGACCUACCGCGCAGACUCUAAAAGGACCCCGAGGACAGAGGGUCUAACCCCUGUAGCUGUAGGCUAACUGUCAAUGAGGCUAACAUUACAGUCACUGUGUUAUGAGGUAGGUGAGCAUACUGGGGGAUAUGUGUUGUGAAUGAAGGGCAGUGCUAGAAAGUAACACUGAAUAAUAAAUCUACUUAUGCAGCGGUGCAUAAGAGGGACAAAUAGCCGAUAUCUAAUCCUACCAUGACAUUGUUUUUUCAGGUGGUGGCAUGUGUCCUGUUUGACUUUGACAAAGACUUUCUCAGGGGGGUGAUGAAAAUGAAAUGAGCCCUGCCAAGAGGAGACAUUUUUGGUUACACAACCAGAAACUCGCUUGAGGUGAGACUGAAGUGACAGAAGCUUGGUAAUUAAGAAAAACUCAUCACUGAUGAAGAGAAACCAAAGUUUUGAGGUACCGCGUUUGUUUUGUUUGACACAAAGAACAACCUCCCGGGCUGAAGAAUGAAGUGUGGAAAUGCUGCUGGUCCUUGAUUGGCCACUUGAGGCUGGUUUCAAAAGUGAUCAAACUCCAUAAACCCCCAAAUGAAGAUGCCCAACUUUACAGCAGAAAUAAACAUGUUUACACCCUGGUAUAAAAA
Molecule: long non-coding RNA, 807 nt
Organism: Morone saxatilis (striped sea-bass)
Lineage: Eukaryota; Metazoa; Chordata; Actinopteri; Moronidae
Exons: 2
Source: RefSeq, a predicted model, not a curated record